AACGAACGCUGGCGGCAGGCCUAACACAUGCAAGUCGAGCGCGCCCUUCGGGGUGAGCGGCGGACGGGUGAGUAACGCGUGGGAACGUGCCCUUUUCUACGGAAUAGCCUCGGGAAACUGAGAGUAAUACCGUAUACGCCCUUUGGGGGAAAGAUUUAUCGGAAAAGGAUCGGCCCGCGUUGGAUUAGGUAGUUGGUGGGGUAAUGGCCUACCAAGCCGACGAUCCAUAGCUGGUUUGAGAGGAUGAUCAGCCACACUGGGACUGAGACACGGCCCAGACUCCUACGGGAGGCAGCAGUGGGGAAUCUUAGACAAUGGGGGCAACCCCGAUCUAGCCAUGCCGCGUGAGUGAUGAAGGCCUUAGGGCUGUAAAGCUCUUUCAGCUGGGAAGAUAAUGACGGUACCAGCAGAAGAAGCCCCGGCUAACUCCGUG
Molecule: ribosomal RNA, 433 nt
Filed under: uncultured bacterium
Lineage: Bacteria
Description: partial 16S ribosomal RNA
Rfam family: Bacterial small subunit ribosomal RNA
Source: RNAcentral